GACCCGUAGCAAGCCUAACAUACAUCCUAUCACCUGGUCAAAUCCCAUACAUGAUCAAAACUUUAACAUAAAAACUGUAACAUAUGAUGUAUAGACCGAGCUUGACCUGUAUGCGACACAACUGGAAACAUAAAGAACUCCCUACUAGAGCCCUCAUCAAAACUCUAGCUGGGUCAACAUAACAUACAUCAAGCUGGGAUCACAUCCAAAGAACUAGAAUCCUGAGUCUGAGCAUCCUCCUGAGAAUCUCCCAUACCUUCUUUCUGGCACUCUGAUUCCCAAACUGACAUCUCUUCUCUGAACAUCCAUCUCUACUUCUCUCGCACUAGCUGAUAUCCUUCUUGGAGCCACUCCUUCUCGGCUUACAUCAAAAGACCUUCCAGGGUACCUUGAUGUUCUCCAUCUGCUAACUCCCCACGACUGCACUCUAGGCAGGGCAGAGGGAAAGGUAUUCAUACCUUCCCUCUCAGAUGGAACUCCAGUCGAUUCCACAGAUCGACGAGUGCCUCGCAUCCUAGCUCCUCCGAAGAACAACACACAAGCAUACAAACAAUCAUUAGCAUCAUACGGUUCAGGUGGAAACACAUGAACCUGCAACAUACAUAGCAUACAUAGCAUAUCAUUAAUGCACAUGCAUAACAUCAUGGCAUUUCACAUCAUAAUCAUACAAGACAGGACUCCACAUCCUAUCCUAGUGGACAUGAUUUUGCCUAUUGUGCUUGCCCUUCUAGAACAUCUAUGAGUCUGACACACUCUAGGUCCGACCAUAUGAAUCUAGGGCUAUGAUACCACUCUGUAACAGCCUGGAAACCAAUAUCCCUCUGUAACGGCCCUAAUCGCUACCGGCGCUAGGAUCCAGAUCGGCUUAAGGCCGCCGGGACCCGUAGCAAGCCUAACAUACAUCCUAUCACCUGGUCAAAUCCCAUACAUGAUCAAAACUUUAACAUAAAAACUGUAACAUAUGAUGUAUAGACCGAGCUUGACCUGUAUGCGACAUAACUGGAAACAUAAAGAACCCCCUACUAGAGCCCUCAUCAAAACUCUAGCUGGGUCAACAUAACAUACAUCAAGCUGGGAUCACAUCCAAAGAACUAGAACCUAACCUGUGCAUGCAUCAAACCAUAAGCAUAAG
Molecule: long non-coding RNA, 1132 nt
Filed under: Manihot esculenta (cassava)
Lineage: Eukaryota; Viridiplantae; Streptophyta; Magnoliopsida; Malpighiales; Euphorbiaceae
Description: long non-coding RNA (MESC_LNC006626)
Source: RNAcentral